This 883-nucleotide ribosomal RNA is filed under the name fungal sp. RNAcentral's name for it is "partial large subunit ribosomal RNA". It matches the Rfam family "Eukaryotic large subunit ribosomal RNA", at positions 81 to 952 of the family's 3401-position model. The record is from RNAcentral. Lineage: Eukaryota; Fungi.
UAGUAACUGCGAGUGAAGCGGGAAAAGCUCAAAUUUAAAAUCUGGCAGCUUUGGCUGUCCGAGUUGUAAUCUGGAGAAGCGUCUUCCGCGCUGGACCGUGUACAAGUCUCCUGGAACGGAGCGUCAUAGAGGGUGAGAAUCCCGUCUUUGACACGGACUACCAGUGCUUUGUGAUGCGCUCUCAAAGAGUCGAGUUGUUUGGGAAUGCAGCUCAAAAUGGGUGGUAAACUCCAUCUAAAGCUAAAUAUUGGCGAGAGACCGAUAGCGAACAAGUACCGUGAGGGAAAGAUGAAAAGCACUUUGGAAAGAGAGUUAAACAGUACGUGAAAUUGCUGAAAGGGAAACGCUUGAAGUCAGUCGCGUUUGCUAGGACUCAGCCUUGCCUCGGCUUGGUGCACUUCCUAGUAGACGGGCCAGCAUCACUUUUGGCUGCGGGAGAAAGAUCAGAGGAAUGUGGCACCUUCGGGUGUGUUAUAGCCUCUGGUUGUAUGCCGUGGCUGGGAGUGAGGAUCUCAGCACGCCUUAUGGCGGGGCUUCGGCCACCUUCGUGCUUAGGAUGCUGGCGUAAUGGCUUUAAACGACCCGUCUUGAAACACGGACCAAGGAGUCUAACAUGCCUGCGAGUGUUUGGGUGGAAAACCCGAGCGCGUAAUGAAAGUGAAAGUUGGGAUCUCUGUCGUGGAGAGCACCGACGCCCGGACCAGACCUUCUGUGACGGAUCCGCGGUAGAGCAUGUAUGUUGGGACCCGAAAGAUGGUGAACUAUGCCUGAAUAGGGUGAAGCCAGAGGAAACUCUGGUGGAGGCUCGUAGCGAUUCUGACGUGCAAAUCGAUCGUCAAAUUUGGGUAUAGGGGCGAAAGACUAAUCGAACCAUCUAGUAGCU